GCCUAGCCCUAAACCUUGGUAAUAUAUCACAUACCCUACCCGCCUGGGAACUACGAGCAUCAGCUUAAAACCCAAAGGACUUGGCGGUGCUUUAGACCCCCCUAGAGGAGCCUGUUCUAGAACCGAUAACCCCCGUUCAACCUCACCCUUCCUUGUUUAUCCCGCCUAUAUACCGCCGUCGUCAGCUUACCCUGUGAAGGCCUAAAAGUAAGCACAACUGGCACAACCCAAAACGUCAGGUCGAGGUGUAGCGCAUGGAGGGGGAAGAAAUGGGCUACAUUCCCUAUAUUAGGGAACACGAACGGCGCACUGAAAUACGCGCCUGAAGGAGGAUUUAGUAGUAAGCGGAAAAUAGCGUGUUCCGCUGAAAUCGGCCCUGAAGCGCGC
This 387-nucleotide ribosomal RNA is filed under the name Sebastes hopkinsi (squarespot rockfish). Its description in RNAcentral is "partial 12S ribosomal RNA". It matches the Rfam family "Bacterial small subunit ribosomal RNA", at positions 794 to 1384 of the family's 1533-position model. The record is from RNAcentral. RNAcentral also lists the same sequence under 1 other name. Lineage: Eukaryota; Metazoa; Chordata; Actinopteri; Perciformes; Sebastidae.